AGAAAGUGUAACUUCCGCAGUAUGUACGCACACGCCCCUUUUCAUGUGCGCCAAUUUAUCCAAAACUAAGCGUGUGGCCUACGAGGAGGGACGAGAAAUUUCACGGUAAACCAAUUCAGAUUCACCAAAACCCGUUAACUAUAAAUGAUUCAGUGGUGAGUACAGGUACUUCCUCGUAUGCAGAGCUCUGCCUGUAUUGGAAGAAAGCUACACCCACCAUAUCCUUGCUGCAUGUAGAUGAUGACAGCAAAUAUCAAACCCCCAAGACACACAACAAUAUCCCAGGUGGUGGAAAAGCAGUCCAUUACUAUGCAAGUGAAUUACCAAGUAGAACUAUGAGACCUGUAAAGGUCAUGUGCACGAGGCAAUAAACGAACAAAAGUAGUCCCAAUGUAAAAGAAAGGGGUGAGAGCCUUUUUGGUAUCACAGAAAAGAUUGAACAGUAGAUAAUAGUUUUAAGUUAUGUAUUUGGUAAUUCAUUUUAGUUUCAAACAUUAGCAUUCGAAUCCCUUUUAAACCAAUUUAUUGUGCAAUUUCUCUAGUUCUAACCAGUGGCGCAUCUAACAUCUGGAGAGCACCAGCGACGUGCGUGCUAGAUUCGCUCGAAUUUUUGUUGUUGAUAGUAGAUAAUAGUUUUAGGUUAUGUAUCUAGCAAUUCAUUUUAAUUUCAAACAUUACCGUUCGAAUCCCUUCUAAACCAAUUUAUUGUGCAAUUUCUCUAGUUCUAUAAUUUUUACAAUGAGAAGGGGAUUUGAACAUGUAACCCAUCUUUAAGAUAACUGAAAGUUUG
Molecule: long non-coding RNA, 790 nt
Filed under: Olea europaea (common olive)
Lineage: Eukaryota; Viridiplantae; Streptophyta; Magnoliopsida; Lamiales; Oleaceae
Description: long non-coding RNA (OEUR_LNC003939)
Source: RNAcentral